UUCCCCUUCGGGGGGACAGGGUGACAGGUGGUGCAUGGUUGUCGUCAGCUCGUGUCGUGAGAUGUUCGGGUUAAGUCCCGCAACGAGCGCAACCCUCGACCUUAGUUGCCAGCAUUCAGUUGGGCACUCUAAGGUGACUGCCGGCUAAAAGUCGGAGGAAGGUGGGGAUGACGCCAAAUCAUCAUGCCCCUUAUGACCUGGGCUACACACGUGCUACAAUGGGCGGUACAAAGGGUCGCGAACCCGCGAGGGGGAGCCAAUCCCAAAAAGCCGCUCUCAGUUCGGAUUGCAGGCUGCAACUCGCCUGCAUGAAGCCGGAAUCGCUAGUAAUCGCGGAUCAGCAUGCCGCGGUGAAUACGUUCCCGGGCCUU
Molecule: ribosomal RNA, 371 nt
Filed under: uncultured Anoxybacillus sp.
Lineage: Bacteria; Bacillati; Bacillota; Bacilli; Caryophanales; Anoxybacillaceae
Description: bacterial SSU rRNA
Rfam family: Bacterial small subunit ribosomal RNA
Source: RNAcentral